AUAAACAAGAGCCGGGACGGGAGGAUGAGGCGGCUGUUGAUCUCCGAGCAGCGGGUGUUGGCGACUCAGGUGGCGAGUGGAACCGGGCGACGAUCCUGAGCUUAGCUUGACCGGUUCUCCCAUCCCUUAGCUCCCCCUACACACUUCCCGGCCACGCGCGCGCGCGCAGCCCCUUUGCGGGCCGACCCGCCGCGCGCGCAGCCAUGAACCUGGCGAGCCAGAGCGGUGAGGCCGGCGCCGGCCAGCUGCUGUUCGCCAACUUCAACCAGGACAACACUCCACAGUACACUCCAUGCCGUACGCCACCUGUCCAGAAAAGGCUUUACAGGUGUCAACAGUACUGUGCCCAUGUUACUGGCCUUGUAGCACCCUUUGCCACACACCGCGUCUAGGCCAGUGACGGGACUGGCAUCUGGGACGCGCAGGUCCCUAGCUGUUGGUAGUAAGUCCGGUUAUAAAUUUUUCUCCCUUUCUUCUGUGGAUAAGCUGGAACAGAUCUAUGAAUGCACUGACACGGAAGACGUGUGCAUCGUGGAGAGGCUGUUCUCCAGCAGCCUGGUGGCCAUCGUCAGCCUCAAAGCGCCCAGGAAGCUGAAGGUCUGCCACUUUAAGAAGGGGACGGAGAUCUGUAACUACAGCUAUUCCAACACCAUCCUGGCCGUGAAGCUCAAUAGGCAGAGGCUCAUCGUGUGCCUGGAGGAGUCGCUCUACAUACACAACAUCCGGGACAUGAAGGUGCUGCACACCAUCAGGGAGACGCCCCCAAACCCUGCAGGCCUGUGCGCACUCUCCAUAAACAAUGACAACUGCUACUUGGCGUACCCAGGGAGCGCGAGCAUCGGUGAAGUGCAGGUCUUCGACACCAUCAACUUGAGAGCGGCGAACAUGAUCCCAGCUCACGACAGUCCCUUAGCUGCGCUGGCCUUUGACGCAAGCGGAAGCAAACUUGCCACUGCUUCUGAGAAGGGGACCGUAAUUAGGGUAUUUUCCAUUCCAGAGGGACAGAAACUCUUUGAGUUCCGGAGGGGAGUGAAGAGGUGUGUGAGCAUCUGCUCUCUGGCCUUCAGCAUGGACAGUAUGUUCCUCUCCGCGUCCAGCAACACUGAGACGGUGCACAUCUUUAAACUUGAGACUGUGAAAGAAAAACCUCCAGAGGAGCCCACUACCUGGACGGGCUACUUUGGGAAGGUGCUCAUGGCCUCCACCAGCUACCUGCCCUCCCAGGUGACAGAAAUGUUCAACCAAGGCAGAGCCUUUGCCACCGUCCGCCUGCCAUUCUGCGGCCACAAGAACAUCUGCUCAUUGACCACAAUUCAGAAGAUUCCCCGGUUACUGGUGGGAGCAUCCGACGGCUACUUGUACAUGUACAACCUGGACCCCCAGGAGGGCGGCGAGUGCGCCCUGAUGCGCCAGCACAGGCUGGACGGCAGCAUGGAGACAACCAGUGAGAUCGUGGACUCCGCCUCCCAUGACUGCCCCUUAGUGACCCAGACGUACGGCACAGCCGCAGCCAAAGGUGCUUACUUGCCCUCGUCCCCCACAAGACUUGGUAAGGGGCAGGACGCCAACCUAGAAGCCUACACAGAUGACUUGGGCGCUGUGGGCGGUGCGUGCCUGGAAGAUGAAGCCAGCGCCCUGCGCCUGGACGAAGACAGUGAGCACCCUCCCAUGAUCCUCCGGACUGACUGAGCCUGGCCUGGGGUCUGGCCUGACAGGACUUCUGCAUUGCUGCUAUGAACUUUGACCUGAAUUAGGGGAGAGGAUGGCAGAGACUUUAAAAAAAAAUAAGGAUGUAGAGAUAGUCUAACUUCAUACUGUUGAAAAUACACAGUUUUCACUCAGUGGCUUUUAAUUCUGCUUACCCACUUCAGCUUUUUGUUUCCUCUCUUUUCUUUUUUUCUUUUUUUGCCAAAAUGAACUGUUUGCAGUCCUUGGAGUCUCUCUCCGUGUGCAUGCUGUGCAAAGCCUGCAUAGGGGAGCUAGCAGCCACCAUCGAGCAAACCGCGCUUGUUGGGGUAACGUCUGUGCAAAUGAUGGCAGGCGUGCAGAGUGGUUCUCUGGGCCCUGGACCUUGGGCAGGAGUCCUCUGGUUCUGCAGCUCCACCUGGACCACUAUCCCUCCAUUUUAUUUUGCUAGACUUGCAUCGUACCGGGACUUCUUCCAGGGGGACUUUGUUUCUGGGCUCACUCUCCAUGUGGGUAGUGGGAGAGAGGCUCUUUCCAGUAAGAAAAACCUGCUCUCUGACCACGGGUGAACUUGAAAGUGAGCCUGGACCACCUGGAGCCAAGGAAAGUAAUGUCGUUUGUGUCAUUAAAUGACCUCCUCUUCUCUACUCUUCCUGUCAAGUAGCUGUGACUUUGUUAAGGGAGAGUUUGCAGCUGCCCCUGUGCCAAGAGAGCACAGAGGUGAGAUGCAGUGGCAGCUGGCUGUCCUUAGCUUGGGCUCCACUGUCUGCUGGAGAGGCCCGAGAGCAAUGCUGGCUGUGGCACUCCUUCGCCAGGGUGACUUGUGCCUUUUCUAUUUCAGUCUUAAAAAGGUUGUUGAGUGAGAGGCUGCAGCAUUUGCCUCGCUCCCCUCGUCGUUACUGAACGCAGACCACCUCAGAUAACCUCAAACUGCGUUCCCACAGGCAGCAGGGGAGGUUUCGAGGGCAUUUAAGUGGCGUUAAUGGCACCAUUGAGCAGGGAUGUUGAGGACAGAAGUGAAAAGGCAGAGGGACUCUCUCUGUUCACCCGUCCUGUGUGGCCAGAGGCGACUGUCCAGGUCAGAGUCAGCUUGUAUCCGGAGUCACUUCUGCCUGGCCAUCAUCUGCGCUGACCUGCUGGGGUCCGGUGGUCCCGCAGCUGCUCAGGAGGUCCAGAGUGUGAGGGGCGCACAGAGCCAGUUCUGACUGCAGCGGACACAGUGGGGCCCUAGUGGAGCUGGCAGGGUGAGAGCCAGGCAUGAGUUAAGUCUCCUUUAAAAUCUGCCUGCCUGUGCUGGACCCUCGAGCCUUGAGCACGUGCCAUACUGGGUCUCCGGGCACAGAGAGAAGUCCCUUAGUGCCUGGGCCAGUGGGAGGAGACUAAUGGAAGUGCUGGGUAGAUGUGGAGCCCUGAGCCAGGGUUCUCCUAGUAACCAAAGAGCCACGUUUUGCGUCCUGGCUUCAAGCGCACUCACUCAGUGCCUGCUGGCUCCUGCUGGCUAUCUUGCACGUGGUGGAGACCUAGGGCUCACAUCUGCAUUGUGGGGUUUUUUUUUCAUCUGUCUUUGGGAUUGUUAGACCCAGCAAAUUCUGGAAGUCCACUUCCUUUUGGCCUUAGCCUCCUUCAAGAUGCACUCAGGGAAAGUGGCCCUCCAUAGAUGGGUGGCUGCCAACGCUAGGCAGGUGAUUUCCCUCCCAGGUGGCCCUUGCUCCAGGCAGAGAUUGCUGAGAAUUCUCACAGGAGGAAAACACGGAUUUGGGUCUUGCUCACUGCUGGAGGGGGUCAAAGCCCUCUGCUUCUCCAUGACCCACCUUCCUCCGUCCCGCCUCACAGGUGGGAGGGAUGGGAAGGCAGGAGACAGGAGCUCUGAGGUGGUCGUUAGUGGGACUUGCCACCAUGCCAAGCCCAACAAAGGGACCCUUGAUUCCCAGACCGCACACUCACAGUAAUUUUUUUUUAUGUUUUUCCAAACUUCCAAAAUGUCAGAAACAAAACCCGGCACCUGAUCUCAUGGACUCGCGGGUAUUUGGACCAAACCUUUAUCUUCUCCAGUGAGGAGCGGAGAGCGGGAUUGAACCUGCAGUCGGAAAGUUCUGUGUUCAGUCGCGGGGCCUCAGGGCUGCGCUGUGCAGUCAGGGGACCACCUCCCAGGGUGGUCGUCAGGGCACGUGCAGGGCUCUGAUGCCUUGAUGCCGCCCCCCUCCUCCUCGGCACCAAGAACUGUGAGGAGAGCAGACGGCACCGUGACAGAGGCUGCCCAUCUCAGGUCAAGCACUACGGCCGGGCUGGACCAGGUUGAGGCCACUCAGUGUGGGACUUCAGGAGCCCAAGUCCUCCACCCUUGCCCCAGGGCAGUGUCCUGCCUGGCCAGGAGGGGACUGAGCACCGUCUUCUCGCCUCUACCUGGAGCAGCUGGACCCGGCCCCUCUGGGAGCCUCAUGGCUGCCGCUCCCUGCUGGGUGACUUCACUCUAUCGACUCCUUUUGGAGAGUCAGCAGCAUUGGGCCACACAGAAAGGACUGGAAUGCUUUGGGCACCACUCAGUGGAGGAAAAGGGACCACUGGUGAGCUGCCUUUGUCAUGCGUGGUUCUCAUGAGGGCAUUGGCCUGAGGUGCAUGUCUGUUCUGUCUGUCCCCUGCCCUUAGUCUUGGUGGCUUCUUCAUGCAGGGAGUGCCCGAGUCACUUUAUUCCAAUGUGUAUUGACCCUGGCAGCUGAAAACCCAAAAGGUUAUUUUCCAAGUGUACUUAGACCUCACGCCCAGUGGGACCAGCAGGGCGGGAGGUUCGUCCGCACUGUGCGGUGGCCAAGGAAUGGGGAGAGUGUGCUCUCCAGCCGCUCUGGGUGGGGAGCAGGCUUCAUGGAGAAUUCUGUUUUGUGAAUAAUUUUUCUUAAUGAAAAUCUAUACCGAUAGCGAUUUGCCAAGUAGACAGGUUAUUCUGACAUGUUUUAGGUUUUCCUCGUUAAUCCUGGGCUGUGUUGUACUGUUUCCUUCUGUGGAUUUUGUGAAGCACAAGAAAAAAAAAAAAAACUGAUUGGAGGUGUGGCCAGUUCCUGUCCUUCCUGGAAUCUGGAUAGGAAGACCCUUGAAUUUGGAAAAAUUAAAUCUUUUUAAAGCUCAGAAUCUCAGGGGAUCGUUUGGUCCCUAGCCUCGACGCCUGCAUUCUUUUA
Non-coding RNA from Castor canadensis (American beaver), 4856 nucleotides. NCBI's taxonomy places the organism in Eukaryota, Metazoa, Chordata, Mammalia, Rodentia, Castoridae. The record is from RefSeq and is a predicted model, not a curated record.